GGUUGGUGCAAAAGUAAUUGCGGUUUUUGCCAUUGAAAAUAAUGGCAAAAACUGCAGUUACUUUUGUACUAACG
This 74-nucleotide microRNA precursor is filed under the name Pongo abelii (Sumatran orangutan). RNAcentral's name for it is "miRNA". Lineage: Eukaryota; Metazoa; Chordata; Mammalia; Primates; Hominidae. The record is from RNAcentral.